Molecule: long non-coding RNA, 956 nt
Organism: Zalophus californianus (California sea lion)
Lineage: Eukaryota; Metazoa; Chordata; Mammalia; Carnivora; Otariidae
Exons: 5
Source: RefSeq, a predicted model, not a curated record
GCCAGCCCCGCAGGUGUUCCUGGGCCCAGAUUUGGACCUGAGUCCAGGCACUGGCCUGCGCAGUUGUGGGUACCCACAGGUAGCGCCUGUAGCUCUGCAUCUGCGUACAACACGGCCUGACUUCUGUCACCGGCCUCGGCUGCUGUGCACAAGCCCAGAACUAAAGCCUGCAGCCUCAGGAGUGCACAGCAACAGCCAAAGCCCAGCAGCUACUGUUGCGUCUGGAUCUAGUCACCACUCCUUGUUAGCUCCUAACUGGUCCCUGUACAUGGAGGACAAGGACAGACAGAAGAAAGAGGCAGAGCACUUCAGACGGUACUUCUGAAUGGCUACUAUCUGUGAUGCAUUGGAAAAUUGCCGUUCUAUCCCUGGGUGUAUGUGAUAAGAGCAGAGCCUGAAGAAAUAAAAGGUAGCUGGUGCUUUGGUCAUGUCUUAGGAACUGUGUUUCCAAACUACAAGAAAGAAGAGCUUCACCUUUGGCAGACCUGAAAAAGGUGCUGAUAAAAUACCAAAGACUGGAACAACUGGUAUCAAACCAUACUUAUAAUCUGAAUUAGCAUAAGUUCCUGAGAUCAAGAGAUGACUCAGCAGAUGGCAUCUGACAAGUUUCUGAGUUCUAAGCAAUCUGCUAUGGGAGUCCAGAAAGGCAAAUAGCUAAUUCUGAUUGGGUGAGGCCAGAAAGGAAUCUGGGCUGGAUCUCGUGAUUUGUUACUGAAGAACAGAAUACAGAACAAAAUAAUGGGAUAUGACUUCUGAGAUUAGGAUGUAAAAAGAGUCUGGCUUCUGUCUUGUUCAGCCUCUCUUGCUUUCUCAUUUGCUUAUUCUGAUGGAAGCCAGCUGCCAUAUUGCAUGCUAUUCCAUGGAGAAGCCCACAUGGCAAGGAAAUGGGGGUGCAUCCAGCCAACAACCAGGGAGAAACUUAAGGCUCUCAGCUUAACAACCCAAAAAGAACUAAG